This 74-nucleotide transfer RNA is filed under the name Merluccius polli (Benguela hake). RNAcentral describes it as "tRNA-Ile". Lineage: Eukaryota; Metazoa; Chordata; Actinopteri; Gadiformes; Merlucciidae. The record is from RNAcentral.
GUUUCUGUCGUGUAGUGGGUUAUCACCAUUGCCUAAUACGCGAAUGGUCCCCUGUUUGAAUCCGGGCAGAAACA